GAAAGAGAGACUAAUACCCCGUAACAUCAUGAUAGGCAUCUAUUGUGGUUGAAAGUUCCGACGGUUUAAGACGGGUACGCGUAUGAUUAGCUAGUUGGUAGUGUAACGGACUACCAAGGCGACGAUCAUUAGGGGAUCUGAGAGGACUACCCCCCACACUGGUACUGAGACACGGACCAGACUCCUACGGGAGGCAGCAGUAAGGAAUAUUGGUCAAUGGAGGCAACUCUGAACCAGCCAUGCCGCGUGCAGGAUGACGGCCCUAUGGGUUGUAAACUGCUUUUGUACAAGAGAAAACCCCAGUACGUGUACUGGGUUGAUAGUAUUGUAAGAAUAAGCAUCGGCCAACUUCGUGCCAGCAGCCGCGGUAAGACGAAGGAUGCAAGCGUUAUCCGGAUUCAUUGGGUUUAAAGGGUGCGUAGGCGGAUUGGUAAGUCAGUGGUGAAAGCCGGCAGCUUAACUGUCGAACGGCCAUUGAUACUGUCGAUCUAGAGUACAGAUGACGUUGGCGGAAUAUGACAUGUAGUGGUGAAAUACUUAGAUAUGUCAUAGAACACCGAUUGCGAAGGCAGCUAACGAAACUGUAACUGACGCUGAGGCACGAAAGUGCGGGGAUCAAACAGGAUUAGAUACCCUGGUAGUCCGCACCGUAAACGAUGAUUACUCGUUGUUGGCGAUAUGACAGUCAGCGACCAAGCGAAAGCGAUAAGUAAUCCACCUGGGGAGUACGCCGGCAACGGUGAAACUCAAAGGAAUUGACGGGGGCCCGCACAAGCGGAGGAGCAUGUGGUUUAAUUCGAUGAUACGCGAGGAACCUUACCUGGGCUUGAAAGUUAGCGACCGGUCCUGAAAGGGAUCUUCCAGCAAUGGCGCGAAACUAGGUGCUGCAUGGCUGUCGUCAGCUCGUGCCGUGAGGUGUUGGGUUAAGUCCCGCAACGAGCGCAACCCCUAUUGUUAGUUACCAGCGAGUAAAGUCGGGGACUCUAACGAAACUGCCCGUGCAAACGGUGAGGAAGGUGGGGAUGACGUCAAGUCAUCACGGCCCUUACGUCCAGGGCUACACACGUGCUACAAUGGUCGGUACAACGGGCAGCUACACAGUGAUGUGAUGCUAAUCUCUAAAAACCGAUCUCAGUUCGGAUUGAAGU
This 1148-nucleotide ribosomal RNA is filed under the name uncultured bacterium. Its description in RNAcentral is "bacterial SSU rRNA". It matches the Rfam family "Bacterial small subunit ribosomal RNA", at positions 153 to 1304 of the family's 1533-position model. The record is from RNAcentral.